Long non-coding RNA from Triticum dicoccoides, 4544 nucleotides. RefSeq lists it as uncharacterized. The record is from RefSeq and is a predicted model, not a curated record. Lineage: Eukaryota; Viridiplantae; Streptophyta; Magnoliopsida; Poales; Poaceae. The transcript is spliced from 3 exons.
AUAAAAGAAAAAAAUCCAUGCGUCUUUCCUUUGGCCCCGAGCAGCCGCGCCGCCGGAACUUGCGAACCCCGCCGCCACCUCGACUCUUCCGUGUCCGGUGCGACGCCGGCACAUCCAUCGCAUGCCGGCGAGCUCCCCAUCGAGCAGUAGUUGCCGCGCUGCCGGAACUUGCGAACCCCGCCGCCACCUCGACUCUUCCGCGUCCGGUGCGACGCCGGCGCAUCCGUCGCAUGCCGGCGAGCUCCCCAUCGAGAACUAGCUGACGCGCCGCCCUCCUACUUUGCCUUUUUCCCAUCCUUCCCUGCACUUCUCUCACCUCUCUCUGCCUCGCAUCCACAGGGACCCCGGGACGCCGCCGGCGCGCGGAAAGACGCCGCCCCAACUGGAUCGAUGCCUUGCUCCAUCGCCUGCUCUCCUACCAUCCGUCCUCACCCCGUCGCCACCUCGACUCUUCCGCAUCCGGUGCGACACCGGCGCAUCCCUCGCAUGCCGGGACCCGAGACGCCGCUGGCACGCGGAACGACGACGCCCCAGCUGGAUCGAGGCCCUGCUCCAUCGCAUGCUCUCCCGCCGUCCGUCCUCAUCUCGAAUCGAUCAUGCCGGCAGCCGUCGUUGCCAGAUCCUAGCUUGGCCGCCUGCUGAAAGAUACAGCGCCUUUGCUCCUCUCACCGUCGAGGGAGGUUGGAAUGACGGAGCCGUGCAUGUGUUGGCACCCAUGUGGUGCGUGCUGAGCCACCGCCUUGCGUAGCGGCUAUAGUCCUACGGCGCGCCCUGCCUCGAGCAGCACACAUGGGUGGCGGCUGAGACGUCUGAGGAGCUUCAGCAGGAGGUGGUGAUCCAGUGGCACUCCUUCCAGUACAACACUAACCUAUGCAAAGUGGCCCUUUAUUUCCCCUGCCCAGCUCCAAUCUUUGAUCCGUCCAUGCUUGAGGUAAUGUGUACAGAGAACGAGGCUGCCGAGCCAAAUUUGUUGAAUGAGGCUGUGAAGUUCGAGGUAAUAUUGCUGCUACCUUCGUUUUGUUUUUUGGUGAUGGUCACCUCUGUAUCAACUCAGCAGGUAGUAUCUAUCUGUUAGUGCUAUUUCUGCAAUUUUGUAAGCCAGAUUUGUGCCAAGUGCAUUGCAUAAUAUAUCUCUAAUAGGUCCAUUGCUAUUUCUGAGAUCUUCCAUCAAUGUUUAUUACAACAGAAAAAUGGUCCUUAUCACAUAUAUAGUAUGCACUGGCAACUUAUAUAUACGAUGGUUGAUAACAAUUACUUCAGGGUAUCCAUUCUGCUAUAUUUUAGAUACUCAACAAAAUUUGUGACAUCUAAUCUGGUAGAGAAAAUUUUGCGUACUAUAGACCCAAAGUGGUCGGACCCUUCCCUGGACCCUGCGCAAGCGGGAGCUACAUGCACCAGGUUGCCCUUUUUGCGAAUUCAGUCCAAGAUAUUCUUUUCUUACCUACAGAUAAUUUCGUAUAGAUGACUUAGCAUUCAACAUGAUUUAGUUUCUAGCCUGUAUAGAUUAGUCUUAUUAUGAGCUACCUAUAAUUUUUUUAGGCUUUUAGUUUUAGUUAUGGUGAUGGACUGUGCACAUGAUUCACAGAAUAAAGAACUGCAUCAAGCAUUAAUUUUUACAUGCGUGAAGCAUUUUACAAUAAAUUUCCUAUUAUUCAUCAGCUAGCUGAAUGAACGGAGACUGUACGACAAGGCGAACAAGCACACUAAAUAUCAUGAGUCAUAGUAAUUCCUAGCUAUUUUUACAAAUGCAUUUCACUGGAAGUUUCCUGUUGAUUAUAAUAAUGUUCACCAUAGAUAUCUAAAGUUUGUGGUUCAAUUUAUGAACUGCAUUGGUCUAGAUACUAUUGCUGGAAGUUGACGUUGACACCCAGUAAGAUCCUCCUGGAGCUGCCUUCUCUGAGCAUAUCUCUAAUCAAGCAUCUACUGAUUCACAUCGUAAAUGUUAAAUUUGUGAUAGGCUUACUAUAGACAAAUGUUUCUGAAUCUUAUGGUAUAUCAGAUGUUACAGAGUAAAUUAUCAAUUUACUCUACAUGAUACAUUAAUCUUUUUUGUUUUUGUUUCUAUUCUAUUUAUGGUGGAAAAAUGGUUUCUUCAUCAUUUUGUUGAUGUUAAAUUAAAACAUUUUUGUAUGCCUAUCGAAUAUAUGUUAGUUCAACCGAUAUUCCAAAUUACAUUUUUAUAUUGUGCUGCUUACUAUAGUUUUUUCCUCCAAGGAAACAACACCAAGGCACCCCAUGAGUAUUUGUCAGUUCAACUGAUAUUCCACUUUUGCAUAUUGUAGUACUUCCAUAGUUAUUUCAUCUCAGGAAACAACACCAAGGCAAUAUAUUUUUACCCUAUUUAUAACAGCCUAAUUAUUUCCAACAAUAGAGAUUCAGGCUAUCUUAUUAAAUGUUCCUUUUUGCACCCUGUUGAUCAGCUACAUAAUAUCCUUCUGAUAUAUGACUAAUUUGAAAGAGAAACAAAAAACUUUUCCUAAACUAUGAAAGACAUCAUUAUUCUGAUUAAAAUCCUUCUCAUAGGUGCCGCCAUGGCACCAUCCAUGAGAGUAUUAAGGAUCCCGAGGGAAAGAGUUGCGAUGGGCCGAUGGCGCAUCUAUUCACACCAUGGACAUUCAUUGCCUACUACUCAUGCGACCACUCUGAAGGUAAGGAAGUGUGUAUCUUAAGUUCCAUGCUGCAGUUAGCAUUUAAUCAUAUUAAUAUUAUCUCUGAUAUCCUGGACACAACAUAGAUUUUACAAGCAAAACUUCAUCAAGCUAGAUUUGUUGCAUGUGCACUGGAUGUUGAUGUUAUUGGGCUGGACUAAUUUUGUGUUUUCCCAUCAUGUUGAAAGUUGUCCCUGAUGUGCGUACAUUAUUCGCUAUCAUGGAGACGACAAAUAGCUGAUGUUUGGUAAUAGUUACUUCAUGGUAUGCUGCAUAUUCCUCUAAAUUUGUGAGAUUUGAGAUAGUAGAAACAACACAUCGUGAUCUACUGGCCUUGCCUGAUGCUUCGUUAUCUGAGGACCAUGGAGUAAAAUGGAUCUAAUUUCCAGUCUAUGUAUGAUUAUUAGUCAUUUGAUGCGGAAAGUUUUAGGAUUUCAUUAUAUGUUUAGUACGGUCUUACAGUUUAUGCAUGCGAAUUAACAGAAAUAAAUUGCACGGACUAUUCUUUUUCUCAUAAAUGUGAAGCAUGUACAACUAUUUUUCUAUUGCAAAAAAACAUUCCUUCCCCCAAGCGAGCCAGCACACAAAUAAGAGUGAAUCCAAGCUUUUUUCAGAACUGAGUUAGUUAUGUUAUCCCUACGAAUAUCUUAGGUUUUAAGUGUCAAUCUUCAAAUUCUCUGCUUUAUUAAUUGACUUUUUAUAAAUACUACGAAGACUAAAAUUUAAAGAAUUAAACCAAUAAGUGUAUUUAGUGAAGUCAGAGGUCUGUUUGGAAUAUUCUUAGUGCAAGUCUCUCAUGAAAGGAGGGAUGUCGUUUUUUCAUGGCUGAAUGGUGCUUUAUGAGGCAACAGUCCUAAUAUCAAUCAAAGUUGAAGCCUCUGUCUAAUCUCCUUUUGCUGUAAAAUAUUAUUUUGUAGUAUUCUUAACGUAAUUAAUGUUCACUUCUAUUAUGCUACCCUUUUAUGCACACCAUGUUUCUAAAUGCAAUAGCCCACUACGAAACAGUUAACUAUACAUCAAUUUCUAUCGAAGUUAGAAGGAAGUUCCUGCUAUUUGUAAUUUUAUACACCAUACACGUAUGAAGUUUCUUAUAUCUUAUUUAACUCUUCUAUAGAUGCUGUUCCAAAAGGUUGUAGCUGAUACCCAAAAAGCUCCUCAGUAGAUAUGAUCCUCUCCAGCACAUCACUUGGUGGAUCUAGAGGGGCAACCAUCAGCUUAUGAAAAAGGGAAAAUAAAUUGCCUGCUAUUGUUCCUUACCAAGAGUAAUUUCCCCAGUGCCUAACUUACGAUUUGAUUUGUUGCAUCAUGAUAAGAUCUCCAUGAUGUGCAUAUGCAUGAUUAUUUUUACAUUGAAUUCGUUUUCCUAUAUAUUUUACAUGCAUGCGUUCACAUAUUAGAGGACAAAUAUGUUGCAGGCUCUUAUCUACAUGCAUGAAUGUGAACUCUGUAUCCAAUGGUAAAGCGGGCUUUAUCAGGAAAAAGGAUCAUGGAAUAGCAUGUGACGUGUGUAUUAUUGUUAGCAUCUACCUAUUUUGAUGCAUUGUAUUUGCAAUUUGCAUACAUAUACCAAGUUUUUCGUCAAAUAUAUAUGUUGCAGGAGACUGGAUGAUCGAGUAGCACUCAAGAUGGCAAGGUGGUUGAGAUUUAGGAACCGUUGUAUCUUGAGGACUCAUGAUGCAGUCGUACGUCGAUACAUAUAGAUUUAUGACUAUUGCCAUAUAGUCCAUUGUAUCUAUCUAUCUACCUACCUACCUACCUACCUACCUACCUAUCACCUCUUAACUUCAGCAUAUUUACCUUGAGUAAUUAUGGUUUAAUACAGGUUUUUUCUCUAUUAGUGAUUUAAUUUUUUAUUGGUUUACACCCCCUUGGUUCAAACAUUAUUAUUCUCUAUUU